AUGGCGUCGACGAUGCGCCGCCGUGCCGACUGGUUCCUCCACGACUGGGUCGACAGGCUCGACACUCAGCGGCCGCCGACUCCGACUCCGACACCUCCGCCUCCCCGCCCCGCCUCCAGCUCCAAGGCCGGCCGCGGCGGAGCCUCUCCUCCUUCGCCGCCGCGGCGAGCGCCCCGAGUACCUUCCCCGCCACGCCCGUCGGCGCGGCGGGGCCAGGGCCAGUUCCACUACGGGAUCCAGUCAGCCGCGCCACCGCACCGGCUCCAGGCGCGCGUCACCUCCCCGGCGGACCACCGGAACGCCUCCGCGUUCAGGCAGGGGAAUCCGACCUCGCGCUCGCUUCUCCACGGAGGACUGGGCGUCUUCAAUCGGUUCGCUCUCUUGGCGAGUGCGAGCGACUAUGAGAGAGAGUUUCCGGUGCUGACUGCUGCAACUGCAAGCAUCAGCGACAAGGACGCGAAGCAGCGGGGGCAAUCUCCUAAAGCUAUCAAGCAUACGAACGGCAAGCUCCGGGGACGAGGCGUUAGGAGGGCUCCGCAGGUGCAGCACGUUAGGAAGGCCGUCGCCGAGCCCGCGGUCAAGGGAGACGCCCAGCUGGUGGUCAAGGGCGACGCCGAGGCGGUGAUCAAGGCCAAGGGCCACGCCGAGCUGGCGAAGGGCGAGAGCGAGGGCCACGCCAAGGCGGCGACCAAGGCCGAGGGCCACGCCGAGGUGGCGGUCAAGAGCGACAAGGCCGCACGCAAUGUCCCCGACCUCGCCAGCGAGCUCAAUGGCCAGGACUUCUUCGUCGGCUCGAUUCUCGGCCUGCCGGAGGCAGUGGAGGAGGACCUGCUGGAGGUGGUGAUGGAUGCGGUGGUGGAGGGCCAGCACCCGAUGGCGGCGGAGGCGGUGUGGGAGGAGGAGGACCGGCCGAUGGCGGCGGGGGUGGUGGGGGAGGAGGACCCCCCGGUGGCGGCGGAGGCGGCCCUGGUGACCCCGCCUCCCCAACCACCCUAUCCACAGCGUCUUCCGUUCGCCAGAUGCCAACGGGCAGGCUGUGGCGUCGACGCCCUGUUCUUCUGCUCGGAGUGUGGGCUGGUUUGCUGUCCGGAGCACGUCUGCCCGGACUGCACCGUGCCACUCUCCGAGCUGCCGGCGCCUCGUCUCUCGGUGCCGCAGGUACAAAUCUACCAGCCCUUUCAGUACCCACCCACUCUUCAGCUCUUCGUCGGCGCGUCGCGUGUGGGAAAUCGCGUUAGUCACUACUUUGCAAGACCCCAGGAUGUGUUUGGGCACGGUGAUAUCAUUGCUGGAGAAGCGCAGCACUUUGACAUGCAGGGUCUUUGGAUGGUUAGAUCUGUCCGCGAGGCGCCCUGCAUUCUCCGGAGGGUACACAUGUUUCCGGAGCCCCAGUUUUACUCAUGGUAG
This 1407-nucleotide ribosomal RNA is filed under the name Triticum aestivum (bread wheat). RNAcentral's name for it is "partial small subunit ribosomal RNA". The record is from RNAcentral. Lineage: Eukaryota; Viridiplantae; Streptophyta; Magnoliopsida; Poales; Poaceae.